GAUUGGUGAUUGAGGAUCCAUACAGAGUUUUAUGAAAUAUCUUAGAGAUCAAAGAACAGAUGCUUUCUUCAGGAAAUAUGAAUACUUUCAAGUAGGAACAAGCCCUUUUUUGGCGUUGAAUCGGGUCAGGAAGAACAAGUUGUUCCAGCUCCGGAAUAACACCCAAAAUCAGAAUAUCUGUAGAUCAAGGGAUUGCAUAUGUGUUGAUGCUGGUGGCUUUAGUUCUAACAUAUCUCAUUCAUCCUAUGGAUGCUUCUUCCUACAACUUAUUCUAAAUUCAGUCAGUUAUAAUCUUUAAAUUAUGUUGCUUUUUGGGGAAAUGGUUGUAAUCAUUCUUCAUAUGGAUUUAAUUGAUUAAUCAAUUCAUGUUUAAUUUAAUUUCUAAUAUAUAUUUAGUUGCCUUUU
Molecule: RNA transcript, 405 nt
Organism: Solanum pennellii
Lineage: Eukaryota; Viridiplantae; Streptophyta; Magnoliopsida; Solanales; Solanaceae
Exons: 2
Source: RefSeq, a predicted model, not a curated record